This 468-nucleotide ribosomal RNA is filed under the name uncultured bacterium. RNAcentral's name for it is "partial 16S ribosomal RNA". It matches the Rfam family "Bacterial small subunit ribosomal RNA", at positions 28 to 507 of the family's 1533-position model. The record is from RNAcentral.
GACGAACGCUGGCGGCGUGCUUAACACAUGCAAGUCGAACGGAAAGGCCCUGCUUUUGUGGGGUGCUCGAGUGGCGAACGGGUGAGUAACACGUGAGUAACCUGCCCUUGACUUUGGGAUAACUUCAGGAAACUGGGGCUAAUACCGGAUAGGAGCUCCUGCUGCAUGGUGGGGGUGGGAAAGUUUCGGUGGUUGGGGAUGGAAUGGCGGCUUAUCGGCUUGUUGGUGGGGUAGUGGCUGAGCAAGGCUUUGACGGGUAGCCGACCUGGGAGGAGGAGCGGCCAAGUCGCGACUGGAAUAAGGCACAGACUACAAUGGGACGCAGCAGUGGGGAAUAGUGCACAAUGGGAGGAAGCAUGAUGCAGCAACGCCGCGUGGGGGAUGACGGCCUUCGGGUUGUAAUCCGCUUUCGCCUGUGACGAGACGUGAGUGACGGUAAUGGGUAAAGAAGCACCGGCUAACUACGUG